Long non-coding RNA from Mercurialis annua (annual mercury), 388 nucleotides. RefSeq lists it as uncharacterized. Lineage: Eukaryota; Viridiplantae; Streptophyta; Magnoliopsida; Malpighiales; Euphorbiaceae. The record is from RefSeq and is a predicted model, not a curated record. The transcript has 2 exons.
UAUCUGGUUAUUUAAUUGUGCUAGUCCUACGUGGUGUCUAGUGAUCUUAGAGUUAGGGGUCAACGGAUUUUAACCUAUUUAUUAUUUUAGACCCGUCGACUGCUCGUGCUUCGGAGUCUACGCAGGGUUAGCUGUUUGCCAAGAUCACGUGGAUAAGCAAGCAGUUUAUGAUUUGAAAGCUGGUCCACUCCGAUUCUUUUGACUCCUCGGAGGUUUUUAUGUUAUUAAACUAGUUUCUAUUUUUCGAACUCUUAGACCGCAGUAGAACUAGUUUAUACAUUACUUAUUAUUGCACUUUGGGAUUGUCGUUUUGAGCGACUAUUUAUUAUUGGCAUGUUCACUCCGGAUUAUUUAUUUUUAUAUAUAAGGCAUGCUGUUGAACUUUUCA